Molecule: ribosomal RNA, 597 nt
Filed under: Mertensophryne micranotis (Loveridge's snouted toad)
Lineage: Eukaryota; Metazoa; Chordata; Amphibia; Anura; Bufonidae
Description: partial 16S ribosomal RNA
Rfam family: Bacterial large subunit ribosomal RNA
Source: RNAcentral
UUUACCAAAAACAUCGCCUUUUGUAAAACUAUAAAAGGUCCAGCCUGCCCAGUGACUCUGUUCAACGGCCGCGGUAUCCUAACCGUGCGAAGGUAGCGUAAUCACUUGUUCUUUAAUUGUGGACUAGUAUGAAUGGCACCACGAGGGCUAUACGUCUCCUUUUUCCAAUCAGUGAAACUAAUCUCCCCGUGAAGAAGCGGGAAUAAUCUUAUAAGACGAGAAGACCCUAUGGAGCUUCAAACAAUAUAGCAAUUAUUACACAACACCCAUCUCCUGAACACAAUUACUGAAAUUACAUGACUAUAAGCUUUUGGUUGGGGUGACCACGGAGCAUAAUAUAACCUCCAUGCUGAAAGAAAUAUUCUAAGCCAAGAAUCACCUGUCAAAGCAUCAAUUUAUUGACACUCAUUGACCCAAUACAUUUGAUCAACGAACCAAGUUACCCUAGGGAUAACAGCGCAAUCCACUUUAAGAGCUCCUAUCGACAAGUGGGUUUACGACCUCGAUGUUGGAUCAGGGUGUCCUAGUGGUGCAGCUGCUACUAAAGGUUCGUUUGUUCAACGAUUAAAACCCUACGUGAUCUGAGUUCAAACCGGA